GUGCUUGCUUUAGCAGCACAUAAACUAAAAUUGGAAAGAUACAGAAGAGAUUAGCAUGGCCCCUGCAAAAGGAUGACACACAAAUUCGUGAAAUGUUCCAUAUUCUU
RNAcentral lists this small nuclear RNA (107 nucleotides) under Carlito syrichta (Philippine tarsier). Lineage: Eukaryota; Metazoa; Chordata; Mammalia; Primates; Tarsiidae. The record is from RNAcentral.